RNAcentral lists this small RNA (520 nucleotides) under uncultured Glomus. RNAcentral's name for it is "SSU rRNA". It matches the Rfam family "Eukaryotic small subunit ribosomal RNA", at positions 569 to 1092 of the family's 1831-position model. Lineage: Eukaryota; Fungi; Glomeromycota; Glomeromycetes; Glomerales; Glomeraceae. The record is from RNAcentral.
AGCAGCCGCGGUAAUUCCAGCUCCAAUAGCGUAUAUUAAAGUUGUUGCAGUUAAAAAGCUCGUAGUUGAAUUUCGGGAUUAAUUUACUGGUCGUGCUAUUGUACGUACUGGUUUUAUUGAUUCCUCCCUUCUGACGAACUAUGAUGUCAUUAAUUUGGUGUCAUAGGGAAUCAGGACUGUUACUUUGAAAAAAUUAGAGUGUUUAAAGCAGGCUCACGCUUGAAUACAUUAGCAUGGAAUAACGGAAUAGGACGUUUGAUUCUAUUUUGUUGGUUUCUAGGAUCGACGUAAUGAUUAAUAGGGAUAGUUGGGGGCAUUAGUAUUCAAUUGUCAGAGGUGAAAUUCUUGGAUUUAUUGAAGACUAACUACUGCGAAAGCAUUUGCCAAGGAUGUUUUCAUUAAUCAAGAACGAAAGUUAGGGGAUCGAAGACGAUCAGAUACCGUCGUAGUCUUAACCAUAAACUAUGCCGACUAGGGAUCGGAUGAUGUUAAUUUUUAAUGACUCAUUCGGCGCCUUACG